UCACAAUGAAUACUUGGAAUAUGACUAUAAGUUCCUGCAAGGUUUAAGCAAGUUGGUAAUAAGGAAAUUCAAUCUCCAGGCCAAUGUGUGCACAAGGCUAGGCUCCAUUGCUGGGUUUUUGUGAGCUUACUUGCUGGUGGGCAGGAAUGAGCACCUUGACCUAGACACCGUUAUAAUCUCCAGCAAUGCUCCCCAACUCACUCUGAGAAAUUGAAAUGGUGCCCAGCCCCUGUCAGCCAGCAUUGUUCAGAGCAUUUAGCCAGAAAACAUAAUGUAAAGGUGGCCACAAGCACCAGUGGCAGGUCCCAUGGGGAAGCUGGAGCCUAGCCUUGACAACUGUCCAAAGAUUCCAGGUGCUGGCUGAGUAGGGACAGUAACUCCAUGAGCAGGAUUGCUCCCUAAGUGGUGAAAUACAGUAUAUUAAGCUUUCAGUAUUUACCAUGGUUAUCUGCUGAACAUUCAGUUCAGCGGUUAAACUAGAGGUUCUCCAAACCAUGGAUGGUUAUUUGAAACCAUCACUUGAAGAAUGCCCAACCUUGGUUUGAAGGCACUUCUAGUUAGCAUUAACCAUAGUUUACCCAGUCCAGAUGUCCUGGAUAAACCACAAUGCAAGAUGCCUUUGACAUAUUAUCACUCCUCCGAACCAUAGUUUAAACAAUUGCUGACAUGGAAUCUGAAGAGAUUCAGAGUAUGCUGCAAUUAAUUAGGGCAUAUGAAAAUACACUGUGAUCAGUUUGCACGGAUUAAUUAGAUUUUAAUAUUCUUGUUUAAUGUAUGUUAUUCAUUUGGACUGCUGUGGUGUUUAAAAUAAAAUAAUUAGAUUGGUUAAAACAGAUCUUAUUCUUUACAAGUUUAAUAUGGUUGGAUUGAUAUAUUAUCAGUUUGUCUAGAAAUAGUAAAUUAAUUGCAUUUGGAGAAUUAAUGUGCAUUUAAAUGGUAAAGUCAGCUGUUGUCUGUUGUCAUAAACUGUUCAACCUUUAUAAUAAGAAAUGCUUAUGUGGGCAUUGUAUAUAUAUUUUUCUUCUCUUAGAAAGCAGCUUAAUAAAAUCACUUCCAUUCCUACUUUA
Molecule: long non-coding RNA, 1067 nt
Organism: Podarcis raffonei (Aeolian wall lizard)
Lineage: Eukaryota; Metazoa; Chordata; Lepidosauria; Squamata; Lacertidae
Exons: 2
Source: RefSeq, a predicted model, not a curated record